Long non-coding RNA from Apis mellifera (honey bee), 516 nucleotides. RefSeq lists it as uncharacterized. The record is from RefSeq and is a predicted model, not a curated record. Lineage: Eukaryota; Metazoa; Arthropoda; Insecta; Hymenoptera; Apidae. The transcript has 2 exons.
GAUCGGUGUCACUAUACACAAUCCGUCCGUUUCCGACGACCGACUUAGCCACCGGUGUUGCGUUGUCGCGCAAGCGUGUUGAAUCGAGAGGAGCGGGCUAGGGGUCGCCGGGAGAAAGAGGGAGUCCCGGCAAAUCAAUACGUAUAUAUCCGCUAGUAACCGGCCAGUUGGGGCUCAUCCUUCGCGACAGAAGCAUCGAGAUCCGAAACUCGUCGAAAUUCGUCCGGAUUCAUUUUUCAUCCGCUCGAUCGUUUCCUUUCCCUCGACUCUCGCCACUCUCGAUCGAUUCUCUCCUCCUUUGUUUUACGAAGGAAAAACGACGUCACGCGAGAAUAUCCGGUGCAUCAUCACGCCAGGCAGGCGGCUAUAUAUCGGCUCAAGGUGCAAGGUGCUACCGCUCGGAAAGACGUUCGGGGCUCGGGUUAACGAUUGACGAGGAAAAGUAAGUAACGAGAGAAGAGGAACGAGCGAAUCCGGUGGAAGAAAUUGCUGGAAGUGUUCGAAAGUGAAGGGAGA